CUAUUUCCUUAAAAAGUCUGUAAGAUACAAAAAGUGCCUUUGGUUUCCGAAGUGCUCUUGAAUAUCUCCAGAAAACUUAAAAGGUAUGCUUAAGUAACCAACUUAGCUAAACAGUAUCUGUCUUUGGGUGCCCUUAUGGGCCUUCCGUGCCGCAAGCAGUCAUUCAUCCUAAGAUAGGGGUGUCUGAGUAGCAAGGAUGACAGUAUGAUUUGUCUUAUUGUCAACCUCUGUGUGCAGGACUUGAAUUAGUUUCUUUGUGGGACCAGAGGAGGGAGAGGUGGUAGUGUCUUGACAGACCCCUGAAAUGGAUAGCAUAUUUUCAAUGUAGUAGAAAAGACAGAAAUGAAAACAACUAACCAGAGUAUAAGGCAAUCUAAAUAAGUGCUAAAUAGGUUAGAGCAGGUUCUAUGAAGGAGGAAGAACUGAUUAAUUCUGAUGGAGGAGGAUGGGGAGGGGUAUGUAUAAGAAAAGGUGUCACUGAGAAGGUGGCAAUUGAACUAGGUCUUGAAGGAUUUAGGAGAGAAUACUGGGUGAGAAAAUGAGUGAUAAGAAGUGCAAAAGAACCAUUCCAGAAGAACAGUGGGAAAUCGGAUUUGACUGAAGUGAGCAUAGGUUUCAUUGAUAUGCCUUAUAAAGGGACCUUGAAGCUGUUAGAGGGCUAGCCUGUUGUGCUGAGGAAUCUGAACUUCAUUUAGUAAGCAGAGAGCAGUCAUUGAGAAAUUUUGGAUUAGUGAUACAAUCCAAUCUGUUUUGGGGAGGCGGGGUGGCAAGAGGUGAUUUCAGUGUGAAAAUGAAGCAGAAGGCUGGUCAAAGCUCUUGCUGUCAUCCAGGCCAGAGGGUAAAGAUCUGUAUCGUGGCUGGGACACUAGAAAUUAAAGGAGCAUUGAUACCCAUCAAGGGAUAGAAAAUGGACAUUAAUACAGUUCCUAAUAGAUACUAGUAACUUUCAUAACCCAUCAACAUUGAUUUCUUACAUUGUCCUGUAUUACAGUAUACAGGAAUGUGUACAGGAAUGAGUCAGAAAUAGACCCUGUGCUCUGGAUACUUAAAAUUUUAAAUAGAAUUGAAUUACUGCAUCGUAAUUUUAGAAAUAAUCACUGAUGGUGAGGAAUUACAAAGGACUAUGUAAAUAAUAUAAUGAUUUAGUGGUUUGCAAGAAUGUAUUAUGGUAGUCAGAGCUUACCAAAAUAACCUGGAGCUAAUAAGAGCUCGGCAAUUAGUUAAAAAUAUCCAGCAUAAUUAAUGUAGAGAAGGUAUUCAAAUGCCAGUUUAGGGCAGAAUGAUACAUAUUAUGAGUGUCCAAGCCUCAGAGUUCUGCACAUUUUACAUUAUCAUAAAGUUGCAUCUUUGUAGACAUUUUUAUGCUAAAUUCUCGAGGGACAUUACAGCAUAUUACACUACCAUUCCAGAAGAGUUUUUAUAUAUUUGCAAGUGUGCACAACUUUUAGGAAGGAGAAGAAGCACUUUUUAAAAAACCAGAAUUCACCUAUGUUUCUGCUGACCAGUUAUCAAAAACUAUCAAAGAUCAUUUGUGUAAGACCUAAGGGAGAAAAUAUCCUUAGACCUAUUUCAUGCUGUUAAAUCUCUACAGAUUUACAGUUUUAUCCAGUCAAAUUAAUGCAAAACCCCAGUGCAAGCAUUUGGAUUUUGAAAACUUUGGAGGAGUGUCAUUUUCUAAUAGUAAUUAUUGGUUUUACAUUAUUUUUUCACAGGGGAACUGAUCACAGCCGCACAUGAGCUUGGAGUUGCCCAUCCUCCUGGCUAUCCUUUGUUCACGCUGGUGGCUAAACUGGCAAUUAUACUCUUUCCUUUUGGUUCCGUUGCCUACCGCGUCAAUCUUCUGUGUGGCUUCUUUGGAGCAGUAGCUGCAUCGUUACUUUUUUUCACCGUUUUCAG
Ailuropoda melanoleuca (giant panda) is the source of this 1896-nucleotide long non-coding RNA. RefSeq lists it as uncharacterized. The record is from RefSeq and is a predicted model, not a curated record. Lineage: Eukaryota; Metazoa; Chordata; Mammalia; Carnivora; Ursidae. The transcript is spliced from 2 exons.